RNAcentral lists this long non-coding RNA (255 nucleotides) under Olea europaea (common olive). RNAcentral's name for it is "long non-coding RNA (OEUR_LNC005027)". The record is from RNAcentral. Lineage: Eukaryota; Viridiplantae; Streptophyta; Magnoliopsida; Lamiales; Oleaceae.
UUCGAUUUCUACGUACUGUACGGGACACCCAAAAGGAAGAAGAGAGCGCCUUGCUCUGAAAAGUAUGGAUCACCUCCAAGAAUAACGCCCCUUCCCACAGGUUGGGUAACUGAUGAAAAAGCAUUAGAAAACAGUAAGGGGGAAUUCAGGAGACAGAGGCUCAAGGCGAUAUGCUGCACGUCGACUUAUCACAGAGGGAUAAUUCGACAGAAAACAAGCAGGAAGUAGAAAUAGAGGCUGCCGAAAAGGUUAUUU